This 468-nucleotide ribosomal RNA is filed under the name Peptostreptococcaceae bacterium oral taxon 103. RNAcentral's name for it is "bacterial SSU rRNA". It matches the Rfam family "Bacterial small subunit ribosomal RNA", at positions 28 to 497 of the family's 1533-position model. Lineage: Bacteria; Bacillati; Bacillota; Clostridia; Peptostreptococcales; Peptostreptococcaceae. The record is from RNAcentral.
GAUGAACGCUGGCGGCGUGCCUAACACAUGCAAGUCGAGCGAGAACUUAUGUAAAGAAACUUCGGUAGAUUUACAAAAGGGAAAGCGGCGGACGGGUGAGUAACGCGUAGGCAACCUGCCCCAUACAGGGGGAUAGCCACCGGAAACGGUGAUUAAUACCUCAUAAAGCAUAGAUAACACAUGUUAAAGAUGUCAAAGAGAAUUCGGUAUGGGAUGGGCCUGCGUCUGAUUAGUUAGUUGGUGAGGUAACGGCUCACCAAGGCGACGAUCAGUAGCCGACCUGAGAGGGUAGGCGGCCACAUUGGAACUGAGACACGGUCCAGACUCCUACGGGAGGCAGCAGUGGGGAAUAUUGCACAAUGGGCGAAAGCCUGAUGCAGCAACGCCGUGUGAAUGAAGAAGGCCUUAGGGUCGUAAAAUUCUGUCCUAAGGGAAGAAAAAGAUGACGGACCUAGGAGGAGCCCCGCA